RNAcentral lists this ribosomal RNA (468 nucleotides) under uncultured bacterium. Its description in RNAcentral is "partial 16S ribosomal RNA". It matches the Rfam family "Bacterial small subunit ribosomal RNA", at positions 28 to 507 of the family's 1533-position model. The record is from RNAcentral.
GACGAACGCUGGCGGCGUGCUUAACACAUGCAAGUCGAACGGAAAGGCCCUGCUUUUGUGGGGUGCUCGAGGGGCGAACGGGUGAGUAACACGUGAGUAACCUGCCCUUGACUUUGGGAUAACUUCAGGAAACUGGGGCUAAUACAGGAUAGGAGCUCCUGCUGCAGGGUGGGGGUUGGAAAGUUUCGGCGGUUGGGGAUGGACGCGCGGCUUAUCAGCUUGUUGGUGGGGUAGUGGCUUACCAAGGCUUUGACGGGUAGCCGGCCUGAGAGGGUGACCGGCCACCUUGGGCCUGAGAUACGGCCCAGACUCCUACGGGAGGCAGCAGUGGGGAAUAUUGCACAAUGGGCGGAAGCCUGAUGCAGCAACGCCGCGUGCGGGAUGACGGCCUUCGGGUUGUAAACCGCUUUCGCCUGUGACGAAGCGUUAGUGACGGUAAUGGGUAAAGAAGCACCGGCUAACUACGUG